Molecule: long non-coding RNA, 169 nt
Organism: Gorilla gorilla gorilla (western lowland gorilla)
Lineage: Eukaryota; Metazoa; Chordata; Mammalia; Primates; Hominidae
Exons: 3
Source: RefSeq, a predicted model, not a curated record
UGGAGGCCCAGCGCUUGCAAAUAUCUUCUCCUCCCAAGAAUUCGAAUGAAUCCACAGGAGUAGGUGAUGGAGGCCAAGACUGCCUUCUCACAACCAGCCAGGCACCCCAGCAAGGCCAAGGCCACUGUGGCUCCUUCCAGAAAAAGCAAGUUGGCCCCUAAAUCCCCAC